CGUAACCACCUUCUUGAAAAUUUGCUUUGGCUGUUCAUAAUGGAAAUGGAAAAAUGGAAGAACAGUUGAAGUCACUUUUAGCAGAAAAAAAUACAGAACUGUCUGGCCAGGUUUAUUGGAUUUUCACCGCAGUAGUAAGAAGAUGUACUAAUUCUGUGGCUGACAUACUGAACUUCUACCCCCUUUUCAAACGAAUGAAGGGCCUAAAGGCCUGGAAAGGGCUUACACAACAAUGAAAGUUUGUGACCAGUGAAAUCGCACAGCUUCUACACUCAAGAUGUCCACAGACUAUUGGUAAAUUCAAUAAAUAUGACAAGUCUACAGGCUGUCA
This 331-nucleotide long non-coding RNA is filed under the name Parus major (Great Tit). RNAcentral's name for it is "lncRNA (ENSPMJG00000001901.1)". The record is from RNAcentral. Lineage: Eukaryota; Metazoa; Chordata; Aves; Passeriformes; Paridae.